RNAcentral lists this transfer RNA (67 nucleotides) under Scolytinae sp. BMNH 1040351. RNAcentral's name for it is "tRNA-Trp". Lineage: Eukaryota; Metazoa; Arthropoda; Insecta; Coleoptera; Curculionidae. The record is from RNAcentral.
AAGAGCUUAAGUUAAAAAAACUAUGGACCUUCAAAGUCUAAAACAGGAAAAUCACUCCUAGCCCUUA